This is a long non-coding RNA of Lagenorhynchus albirostris (white-beaked dolphin), 514 nucleotides long. RefSeq lists it as uncharacterized. The record is from RefSeq and is a predicted model, not a curated record. The transcript has 3 exons. Lineage: Eukaryota; Metazoa; Chordata; Mammalia; Artiodactyla; Delphinidae.
GGCCAUCCAUGGCAAGCGCGUGUCUGCUGCUGUCCUGUGCCUUCACAUCAGCCACCAAAUCCAUCUGAUCUCUCUGCUGGCCUCAAACUUCCAGAUUCAGAAACAGUGGAGAGUGCAGGAAAGCAAUCAAAGAAAAAUAGGUAAUGGAUCUUUGAUAGUUGCUCAGAUGCUUAUUGAAAUGAGAUUGGAUGUGCCUUUCCUACUGAAUCAAACCUGAAGGAGACAGAUCCAAGAAAAUAUUGCUACGAUUUAUAUCAAAGAGUAUUCUGCACAGCAAAGGAAAUCAUCAUCAAAAUGAAAAGACAACCUACUGGGGCUUCUCUGGUGGCGCAGUGGUUGAGAGUCCGCCUGCCGAUGCAGGGGACACGGGUUCGUGCCCCGGUCCGGGAGGAUCCCACAUGCCGCGGAGCGGCUGGGCCCGUGAGCCAUGGCCGCUGAGCCUGCGCGUCCAGAGCCUGUGCUCCACAACGGGAGAGGCCGUGAUGGUGAGAGGCCCGGGUACAGCAAAAAAAAU